This 253-nucleotide ribosomal RNA is filed under the name uncultured bacterium. Its description in RNAcentral is "partial 16S ribosomal RNA". It matches the Rfam family "Bacterial small subunit ribosomal RNA", at positions 524 to 776 of the family's 1533-position model. The record is from RNAcentral.
UACGAAGGGGGCUAGCGUUGCUCGGAAUCACUGGGCGUAAAGCGCACGUAGGCGGACUCUUAAGUCAGGGGUGAAAUCCUGGAGCUCAACUCCAGAACUGCCUUUGAUACUGGGAGUCUCGAGUUCGGGAGAGGUGAGUGGAACUGCGAGUGUAGAGGUGAAAUUCGUAGAUAUUCGCAAGAACACCAGUGGCGAAGGCGGCUCACUGGCCCGAUACUGACGCUCAGGCACGAAAGCGUGGGGAGCAAACAGG